Molecule: ribosomal RNA, 508 nt
Filed under: uncultured bacterium
Lineage: Bacteria
Description: partial 16S ribosomal RNA
Rfam family: Bacterial small subunit ribosomal RNA
Source: RNAcentral
GACGAACGCUGGCGGCGUGCCUAAUACAUGCAAGUCGAGCGCUUCUUUCCUCCCGAGUGCUUGCACUCAAUUGGAAAGAGGAGUGGCGGACGGGUGAGUAACACGUGGGUAACCUACCCAUCAGAGGGGGAUAACACUUGGAAACAGGUGCUAAUACCGCAUAACAGUUUAUGCCGCAUGGCAUAAGAGUGAAAGGCGCUUUCGGGUGUCGCUGAUGGAUGGACCCGCGGUGCAUUAGCUAGUUGGUGAGGUAACGGCUCACCAAGGCCACGAUGCAUAGCCGACCUGAGAGGGUGAUCGGCCACACUGGAACUGAGACACGGCCCAGACUCCUACGGGAGGCAGCAGUAGGGAAUCUUCGGCAAUGGACGAAAGUCUGACCGAGCAACGCCGCGUGAGUGAAGAAGGUUUUCGGAUCGUAAAACUCUGUUGUUAGAGAAGAACAAGGACGUUAGUAACUGAACGUCCCCUGACGGUAUCUAACCAGAAAGCCACGGCUAACUACGUG